Molecule: long non-coding RNA, 986 nt
Organism: Fukomys damarensis (Damara mole-rat)
Lineage: Eukaryota; Metazoa; Chordata; Mammalia; Rodentia; Bathyergidae
Exons: 5
Source: RefSeq, a predicted model, not a curated record
CCUGGGAGAGGCAGCUCAGCAGAGGACCGGGCUCAAGUUAGCUGAACAAAGGUCUACGACUUUCUGGUCAGGCAGGGAGGUUGCCUGCUGAGAUUCAGGAGACUGUGCUGGUCUGUUGGGUAGGUGUCCAGCCAGCUGGAGAUUAUUCAUGUUUGCAGCUAGGAUAACGUGCGCCUAGCGCUAGAGACCCGGAGCUUCCUCUCCCAGGUGGAGUUGGGAGUUCAAAGAUGAGAGCGAGAAUUGAAAAGGAAGUGUGGGACAGGAGAGGAGUAGCUUACAUUGCUGCCUUUCACAAAGACAAAGCAGCAACUGCAAAAGGCUUCUACUACUUCAAAUACUUAAAAUAGAAAGUCUACUCAGCUCUUUACUCUAGCAGGUGGAUCUUUGUGAAGAGGAAAGUAGUUUGACUUCUCAGCUUUAAUUUCUAUUCAAAAGAUGAACAAAUACAGUUGGCCAUAAAUACAUGAAAAAAAUGUUCAGCAUUGCCGGCCAUUCAAGAAAUGCAAAUUAGAACAACAUUAAGGUUUCAUCUCACCCCGGAAAGACUGGCUAUCAUCAACAAAUCAACCAAUAAUGAAUGCUGUUUCACUGCAAUAAGAUGUGAGCGUUCACUCUGCAGGAUUCCCAUUUCUUUGGCUAUGGUAAGAUGCUGCCUCUCCCAACUCAGCAAGAGGAGGUAAGCUUGAAUCCAACUUCACUGAGGACUGGAAGCUCUUUAAUGAAUCCAGUUUUCUCAAGAUCACCAGUAAAAAUGAAGACACAUGACCAGACUUAAAGAUAAAUGUUCAUGGCCCCAUCAUUCACUAUAGCCAAAAAGUAAAAACAGCCUAAAUGUUUAUUAACAGGUAAGUGGAUAAACAAAAUAUGACAUACUCAGACAAUAGAAUAUUAUUUGGCAAUAACAAUGAAUGAAAUAACUUAGUGAGAUCCCAUCUCAAAAUAAAAAAAAUGGGGGAGUAGGGAUAUUGCUCAUUGGUAGAGUGGUC